Molecule: ribosomal RNA, 464 nt
Filed under: Hemigrapsus takanoi
Lineage: Eukaryota; Metazoa; Arthropoda; Malacostraca; Decapoda; Varunidae
Description: partial 16S ribosomal RNA
Rfam family: Bacterial large subunit ribosomal RNA (bases 332-464)
Source: RNAcentral
UGCAAAGGUAGCAUAAUCGUUAGUUUUUUAAUUGGAAUCUUGUAUGAAUGGUUGGACAAAAAAAAAUCUGUCUUUAUAUUGUUUAUUGAAUUUAACUUUUAAGUGAAAAGGCUUAAAUAAAUUAAAGGGACGAUAAGACCCUAUAAAGCUUAAUAUUAAUAUUUUACUUAGUUAAAUUUUCUUGUUUAUAAAAACUUAGUAAUUGAAUUUAUUUUAUUGGGGCGAUAAAGGUAAAAUGACUACUAACUGCUUAAUUUUUUAUACAUUUAUAAAUGAAUUAGGAAAUAAAUGAUCCUUAAUAUUAAAGAUUAAAAGUUUAAGUUACUUUAGGGAUAACAGCGUUAUUUUUCUUAAGAGUACAUAUCGAAAGAAAAUUUUGCGACCUCGAUGUUGAAUUAAAAUACCUUUAUAAUUGCAGCAGUUAUAUAAGUAGGUCUGUUCGACCUUUAAAAUUUUACAUGAUU